CAGUCGCCACGGUAAUACGAAGGGGGCUAGCGUUGUUCGGAUUUACUGGGCGUAAAGCGCACGUAGGCGGACUUUUAAGUCAGGGGUGAAAUCCCGGGGCUCAACCCCGGAAUUGCCUUUGAUGCUGAAAGUCUUGAGUAUGGUAGAGGUGAGUGGAAUUCCGAGUGUAGAGGUGAAAUUCGUAGAUAUUCGGAGGAACACCAGUGGCGAAGGCGGCUCACUGGACCAUUACUGACGCUGAGGUGCGAAAGCGUGGGGAGCAAACAGGAUUAGAUACCCCCGUAGUCCCUGUCUCUUAUAC
This 301-nucleotide ribosomal RNA is filed under the name uncultured bacterium. RNAcentral describes it as "partial 16S ribosomal RNA". It matches the Rfam family "Bacterial small subunit ribosomal RNA", at positions 509 to 807 of the family's 1533-position model. The record is from RNAcentral.